This 253-nucleotide ribosomal RNA is filed under the name uncultured bacterium. Its description in RNAcentral is "partial 16S ribosomal RNA". It matches the Rfam family "Bacterial small subunit ribosomal RNA", at positions 524 to 776 of the family's 1533-position model. The record is from RNAcentral.
UACAGAGGUCUCAAGCGUUGUUCGGAUUCAUUGGGCGUAAAGGGCGCGUAGGCGGCGGGGUAAGUCUGGUGUGAAAUCUAGGAGCUCAACUCCUAAACUGCACUGGAUACUGCUCUGCUAGAGGACUGGAGAGGAGACUGGAAUUCCUGGUGUAGCGGUGAAAUGCGCAGAUAUCAGGAGGAACACCGGUGGCGAAGGCGGGUCUCUGGGCAGUUACUGACGCUGAGGAGCGAAAGCAUGGGGAGCGAACAGG